CCGGUGUUCGGUGUCUGCCUGAACGUCGGUGUCUGUGUAUGCGUGUCUUCUUUGUGGCAUCACACGUCAACUACACUGAACGCAUACACCUGCAGCACCUUUGGGACUAAUGACACAAAGGUCAAGGCCAGCCUGGCGACCAUGCUUGCCAAGGAGUAGUGUAAAUAUUUAAUCUGUUUCCAUAAUAGCAUAAGACAUGAAUUUAAGGAAUUAAUCUAUUAUAUCGAGCAAUAAAAACGGUUAAUGCA
Molecule: long non-coding RNA, 248 nt
Filed under: Dermacentor andersoni
Lineage: Eukaryota; Metazoa; Arthropoda; Arachnida; Ixodida; Ixodidae
Description: uncharacterized LOC126526516
Source: RNAcentral